UGGGGAAUAUUGGACAAUGGGCGACAGCCUGAUCCAGCCAUGCCGCGUGUGUGAAGAAGGUCUUCGGAUUGUAAAGCACUUUAAGUUGGGAGGAAGGGCAGUAAGCGAAUACCUUGCUGUUUUGACGUUACCGACAGAAUAAGCACCGGCUAACUCUGUGCCAGCAGCCGCGGUAAUACAGAGGGUGCAAGCGUUCAUCGGAAUUACUGGGCGUAAAGCGCGCGUAGGUGGUUCGUUAAGUUGAAUGUGAAAGCCCCGGGCUCAACCUGGGAACUGCAUCCAAAACUGGCGAGCUAGAGUAGGGCAGAGGGUGGUGGAAUUUCCUGUGUAGCGGUGAAAUGCGUAGAUAUAGGAAGGAACACCAGUGGCGAAGGCGACCACCUGGGCUCAUACUGACACUGAGGUGCGAAAGCGUGGGGAGCAAACAGG
Molecule: ribosomal RNA, 429 nt
Filed under: Pseudomonadota bacterium
Lineage: Bacteria; Pseudomonadati; Pseudomonadota
Description: Proteobacteria bacterium partial 16S ribosomal RNA
Rfam family: Bacterial small subunit ribosomal RNA
Source: RNAcentral